AGAGUUUGAUCAUGGUAGGAAGAACGCUGGCGGCGUGCUUAACACAUGCAAGUCGAACGAGGUCCAACCUUCGGGUGAAGACCGAGUGGCGAACGGGUGAGUAACACGUGGGGAACCUGCCCUUCUCUCUGGGAUAACGUCGGGAAAUCGGCGCUAAUACCGGAUACUCCUUGCGGACCGCAUGGUCUGCUCGGGAAAGCUCCGGCGGAGAAGGAUGGCCCCGCGGCCCAUUAGCUAGUUGGUGGGGUAACGGCCCACCAAGGCGACGAUGGGUAGCCGAGCUGAGAGGCUGAUCGGCCACACUGGGACUGAGACACGGCCCAGACUCCUACGGGAGGCAGCAGUGGGGAAUCUUGCGCAAUGGGCGAAAGCCUGACGCAGCAACGCCGCGUGCGGGAUGAAGGCUCUCGGGUCGUAAACCGCUUUCAGCAGGGAUGAAAUUGACAGUACCUGCAGAAGAAGCCCCGGCUAAAUACGUG
Molecule: ribosomal RNA, 479 nt
Filed under: bacterium enrichment culture clone 21
Lineage: Bacteria
Description: bacterial SSU rRNA
Rfam family: Bacterial small subunit ribosomal RNA
Source: RNAcentral